GGCGACUACGUCGUUCACCAGCGGUCUAAUAGACCGGAAUUGAGAGGAUGACCAAGGAAACGAAGCCGUGAUUCGGCCGGAAAAACGAGAACUGAAUCGAGAAAUUUGUUGGCCUAUUCUUCUCGAAAUUCUGAUUUUUCUUGCCUCCAUCGCUUUGAUUCAAUUAUUUGAGUCAAUAAGAUACCUGGAUCAAGUCAGGUAAUUCAAUGUGUUGUAGUUGGCCAAAUUUGGCUAUGAACGAUUUUCGAGCGAUUUGCAUUUGAAGAUCGCAAACAUAUUUUUGGUUUUCUGAUCUUAACGUUACUGUCUGACUAAGCAGAAGAAUAUGACAUAAUUGAAAACGAAAACAAGGUGUA
RNAcentral lists this unclassified non-coding RNA (356 nucleotides) under Bombus terrestris (buff-tailed bumblebee). RNAcentral describes it as "misc RNA ENSBTSG00005024689.1". Lineage: Eukaryota; Metazoa; Arthropoda; Insecta; Hymenoptera; Apidae. The record is from RNAcentral.